UACAGAGGUCUCAAGCGUUGUUCGGAUUCAUUGGGCGUAAAGGGUGUGUAGGUGGCGCCGUAAGUCGGGUGUGAAAUCUCGGGGCUUAACUCCGAAACUGCAUUCGAUACUGCGGUGCUUGAGGACUGGAGAGGAGACUGGAAUUCAUGGUGUAGCAGUGAAAUGCGUAGAUAUCGUAAGGAAGACCAGUGGCGAAGGCGGGUCUCUGGACAGUUCCUGACGCUGAGGCACGAAGGUCAGGGGAGCAAACGGG
This 253-nucleotide ribosomal RNA is filed under the name uncultured bacterium. RNAcentral's name for it is "partial 16S ribosomal RNA". It matches the Rfam family "Bacterial small subunit ribosomal RNA", at positions 524 to 776 of the family's 1533-position model. The record is from RNAcentral.